Molecule: ribosomal RNA, 253 nt
Filed under: uncultured bacterium
Lineage: Bacteria
Description: partial 16S ribosomal RNA
Rfam family: Bacterial small subunit ribosomal RNA
Source: RNAcentral
UACGUAGGGGGCAAGCGUUGUCCGGAUUUAUUGGGCGUAAAGAGCGCGUAGGCGGACCGUUAAGUCUGGUCUGAAAGCCCCCGGCUCAACCGGGGAAGGUGGCUGGAAACUGGCGUUCUUGAGGGCGAUAGAGGAGAGCGGAAUUCCUGGUGUAGCGGUGAAAUGCGUAGAUAUCUGGAGGAACACCGGUGGCGAAGGCGGCAUCCUGGACCGGUAUUGACGCUGAGGCGCGAAAGCCAGGGGAGCAAACGGG